Molecule: ribosomal RNA, 496 nt
Filed under: uncultured bacterium
Lineage: Bacteria
Description: partial 16S ribosomal RNA
Rfam family: Bacterial small subunit ribosomal RNA
Source: RNAcentral
AUUGAACGCUGGCGGAAUGCUUUACACAUGCAAGUCGAACGGUAGAGGGGGCAACCCCUCGAGAGUGGCGAACGGGUGAGUAAUAUAUCGGAACGUGCCCAGUCGUGGGGGAUAACGUAGCGAAAGUUACGCUAAUACCGCAUACGAUCUAAGGAUGAAAGCGGGGGAUCGCAAGACCUCGCGCGAUUGGAGCGGCCGAUAUCAGAUUAGGUAGUUGGUGGGGUAAAGGCUCACCAAGCCAACGAUCUGUAGCUGGUCUGAGAGGACGACCAGCCAAACGGGAACUGAGACACGGUCCAGACUCCUAGGGGAGGCAGCAGUGGGGAAUUUUGGACAAUGGACGCAAGUCUGAUCCAGCCAUUCCGCGUGCAGGAUGAAGGCCCUCGGGUUGUAAACUGCUUUUGUACGGAACGAAAAGGUCUCUCUUAAUACGGGGGGCUCAUGACGGUACCGUAAGAAUAAGCACCGGCUAACUACGUGCCAGCAGCCGCCGUAA